RNAcentral lists this ribosomal RNA (494 nucleotides) under uncultured bacterium. RNAcentral's name for it is "partial 16S ribosomal RNA". It matches the Rfam family "Bacterial small subunit ribosomal RNA", at positions 28 to 507 of the family's 1533-position model. The record is from RNAcentral.
GACGAACGCUGGCGGCGUGCUUAACACAUGCAAGUCGAACGGUGAAGCGCCUUCCUUUUUGGUGGGUGUGGAUGAGUGGCGAACGGGUGAGUAACACGUGAGUAACCUGCCCCCUUCUUCUGGAUAACCGCAUGAAAGUGUGGCUAAUACGGGAUAUUCUGGGUCUGUCGCAUGAUGGGUCUGGGAAAGAUAUUGUUUCGGUGGGGGAUGGGCUCGCGGCCUAUCAGCUUGUUGGUGGGGUGAUGGCCUACCAAGGCGGUGACGGGUAGCCGGCCUGAGAGGGUGGACGAUCACACUGGGACUGAGACGCGGCCCAGACUCCUACGGGAGGCAGCAGUGGGGAAUAGUGCACGAUGGGCGCAAGCCUGAUGCAGCGACGCCGCGUGAGGGAUGGAGGCCUUCGGGUUGUGAACCUCUUUCGCCAGUGAAGCAGGCCUGCCUCGUUUGUGGGUGGGUUGACGGUAGCUGGAUAAGAAGCGCCGGCUAACUACGUG